This is a non-coding RNA of Cyanistes caeruleus (blue tit), 304 nucleotides long. The record is from RefSeq and is a predicted model, not a curated record. Lineage: Eukaryota; Metazoa; Chordata; Aves; Passeriformes; Paridae.
UGUCAGACAGGUAACACCCACAGGUACCCGUCCUGGAUCCCGAUCAGCUACAGGUGAGACAGGUAACACCCACAGGUGAGACAGGUAACACCCGCAGGUACCCGUCCUGGAUCCCGAUCAGCUGCAGGUGAGAGACAGGUGAGAUACAGGUGAGAUACAGGUAACACCCACAGGUGAGACAGGUAACACCCACAGGUACCCGUCCUGGAUCCCGAUCAGCUGCAGGUGAGACAGGUGAGAGACAGGUGUGUCAGACAGGUAACACCCACAGGUAACACCCGCAGGUACCCGUCCUGGAUCCCGA